CCUACGGGGGGCAGCAGUGAGGAAUAUUGGUCAAUGGGCGCAAGCCUGAACCAGCCAAGUCGCGUGAGGGAUGACGGUCCUAUGGAUUGUAAACCUCUUUUGUCGGGGAGCAAGGCCCGCCACGUGUGGCGGGAAGGAGAGUACCCGAAGAAAACGCAUCGGCUAACUCCGUGCCAGCAGCCGCGGUAAUACGGAAGAUGCGAGCGUUAUCCGUAUUUAUUGGGUUUAAAGGGUGCGUAGGCGGAAGGUUAAGUCAGCGGUAAAAUGUCGGUGCUCAAGACCGGCCUGCCGUUGAAACUGGUCUUCUUGAGUGAGCUAGAAGUAUGCGGAAUGCGUGGUGUAGCGGUGAAAUGCAUAGAUAUCACGCAGAACUCCGAUUGCGAAGGCAGCAUACCGGCGCUCAACUGACGCUGAGGCACGAAAGCGUGGGGAUCGAACAGGAUUAGAUACCCCAGUAGUC
Molecule: ribosomal RNA, 460 nt
Filed under: uncultured bacterium
Lineage: Bacteria
Description: partial 16S ribosomal RNA
Rfam family: Bacterial small subunit ribosomal RNA
Source: RNAcentral